CCUACGGGAGGCAGCAGUGGGGAAUUUUGCGCAAUGGGCGAAAGCCUGACGCAGCAACGCCGCGUGAGCGAUGAAGGCCUUCGGGUCGUAAAGCUCUGUCAAGUGGGAAGAACACAAUGACGGUACCACUAGAGGAAGCCCCGGCUAACUUCGUGCCAGCAGCCGCGGUAAU
This 172-nucleotide ribosomal RNA is filed under the name uncultured bacterium. RNAcentral describes it as "partial 16S ribosomal RNA". It matches the Rfam family "Bacterial small subunit ribosomal RNA", at positions 338 to 524 of the family's 1533-position model. The record is from RNAcentral.